CCUACGGGAGGCAGCAGUGGGGAAUAUUGGACAAUGGGGGGAACCCUGAUCCAGCGACGCCGCGUGAGUGAAGAAGUAUUUCGGUAUGUAAAGCUCUAUCAGCAGGGAAGAAAGAAAUGACGGUACCUGACUAAGAAGCCCCGGCUAACUACGUGCCAGCAGCCGCGGUAAUACGUAGGGGGCAAGCGUUAUCCGGAUUCACUGGGUGUAAAGGGAGCGUAGACGGCGAGACAAGUCUGGAGUGAAAGGCCGGGGCCCAACCCCGGGACUGCUCUGGAAACUGCCUGGCUGGAGUACAGGAGAGGUAAGUGGAAUUCCUAGUGUAGCGGUGAAAUGCGUAGAUAUUAGGAGGAACACCAGUGGUGAAGGCGGCUUACUGGACUGUAACUGACGUUGAGGCUCGAAAGCGUGGGGAGCAAACAGGAUUAGAUACCCCAGUAGUC
RNAcentral lists this ribosomal RNA (443 nucleotides) under uncultured bacterium. RNAcentral describes it as "partial 16S ribosomal RNA". It matches the Rfam family "Bacterial small subunit ribosomal RNA", at positions 338 to 795 of the family's 1533-position model. The record is from RNAcentral.